AGGGCAAAUAGCUGAAUGACAUAAACCCUACCCAAGCCCAGACCUUGUGAACAAUGUUUGCCCUGCUGCCAAUGCUGAGGAAGAUAGAUAGAGACUGAAAAAGACUACUUAUGUGGCUGACAUAACAAGAGUACAAGAUAAUGCUUUGGACAGACACCUCCCUCCAAAUUCAACACUCUCAGCUCACCCAUUCUUUCCUCAAUAAACCAUACACAUCACUGCUUUCUACGUACUUUCCAAACCUUCACAACCACGGACUCACAUGCAACUUCCAUUCUUCUUAGCCUCACAUCUUUCAACUUUCAUUACAACUUAAUCAAUACCCGUCUUGUUAGGAGGAAUCCAAAAGACAAAAAGGACAAUGCCUAUGCCUAUCUAAGAUUUUUAUCACAUCGCUUGGACUCAAUUACAAGAAACUUAAGUGUUAAUACCACUGCUGUCUUUGAAAUUUUCUUAUAUCAUUGAGUACUACUGUCUACUUUCACACCAUACAUAUAUAUAUAAUAAAAAGAAUGAAUACAUAACGUGAUUAUGCCUUCAUUAAAGAUUGAUGAAUACCAUGAUACUUUUGUUGUCCCCCAUAGUGCUGAUAAUAUGAUUCUACGUCCAUUAAUAAUAGAGGUAGUAAUCCAAAGUCAAAAUCAGAAAAAGUAUACGUAAUUGUUAUACCAAUCACUUAGGAUGCGUGUAAAUGGUGGCUCCUUUACAAUUGGCAAUAAAUGAAGGAGUAAAAGAGAAACGGCAUAAGAUUCAUUGGCAUACAACAAGUCACUCCGAGUGAUGACUGCUACCAAUCAUGGGAGACAUCAAAGACAGCAUAUGCAUGCAGCAUCUUUAACAUGGACCGUUGGAUGUCAAGUCAGAAAAGAAUACAAAUUACAAAAGUGAAGUAGACAGCAGAAUAGCAUAAUCAGUGUCUGUCUUCCACAUUCAGAUUCCAAUUCUG
Molecule: long non-coding RNA, 946 nt
Filed under: Vigna radiata
Lineage: Eukaryota; Viridiplantae; Streptophyta; Magnoliopsida; Fabales; Fabaceae
Description: long non-coding RNA (VRAD_LNC002237)
Source: RNAcentral